AGUGAACGCUGGCGGUAGGCCUAACACAUGCAAGUCGAACGGCAGCACAGUAAGAGCUCGCUCUUACGGGUGGCGAGUGGCGGACGGGUGAGGAAUACAUCGGAAUCUACUUUUUCUUGCGGGAUAACGCAGGGAAACUUACGCCAAUACCGCAUACGACCUACGGGUGAAAGCAUGGGAUCUUCGGACCUUGCGUGAUCCAAUGAGCCGAUGUCGGAUUAGCUAGUUGGCGGGGUAAAGGCCCACCAAGGCGACGAUCCGUAGCUGGUCUGAGAGGAUGAUCAGCCACACUGGAACUGAGACACGGUCCAGACUCCUACGGGAGGCAGCAGUGGGGAAUAUUGGACAAUGGGCGCAAGCCUGAUCCAGCCAUACCGCGUGGGUGAAGAAGGUCUUCGGGUUGUAAAGCCCUUUUGUUGGGAAAGAAAAGCAGCAGGUUAAUACCCCGCUGUUCUGACGGUACCCAAAGAAUAAGCACCGGCUAACUUCGUG
RNAcentral lists this ribosomal RNA (492 nucleotides) under uncultured bacterium. RNAcentral describes it as "partial 16S ribosomal RNA". It matches the Rfam family "Bacterial small subunit ribosomal RNA", at positions 29 to 507 of the family's 1533-position model. The record is from RNAcentral.